CCCUUAGAUGUUCUGGGCCGCACGCGCGCUACACUGAUGAAUGCAACGAGCUCUACCCUUGACCGAAAGGCCCGGGUAAACUUGUGAAACUUCAUCGUGAUGGGGAUAGAUUAUUGCAAUUAUUAGUCUUCAACGAGGAAUUCCUAGUAAGCGCGAGUCAUCAGCUCGCGUUGAUUACGUCCCUGCCCUCUGUACACACCGCCCGUCGCUCCUACCGAUUGAAUGAUCCGAUGAAUAUCAUGGAUUGAGGAUUAUAGCAGGUUCGCCUGUCUUGAUCUUCGAGAAGUGAAGUAAAUCUUAUCAUUUAGAGGAAGGAGAAGUCGUAACA
RNAcentral lists this ribosomal RNA (328 nucleotides) under uncultured eukaryote. RNAcentral's name for it is "partial 18S ribosomal RNA". It matches the Rfam family "Eukaryotic small subunit ribosomal RNA", at positions 1470 to 1796 of the family's 1831-position model. The record is from RNAcentral.